Molecule: ribosomal RNA, 699 nt
Filed under: uncultured bacterium
Lineage: Bacteria
Description: bacterial SSU rRNA
Rfam family: Bacterial small subunit ribosomal RNA
Source: RNAcentral
ACACACGGAUAACAUACCGAAAGGUAUGCUAAUACGGGAUAAUAUAUUUGAGAGGCAUCUCUUGAAUAUCAAAGGUGAGCCAGUACAGGAUGGACCCGCGUCUGAUUAGCUAGUUGGUAAGGUAAAGGCUUACCAAGGCGACGAUCAGUAGCCGACCUGAGAGGGUGAUCGGCCACAUUGGAACUGAGACACGGUCCAAACUCCUACGGGAGGCAGCAGUGGGGAAUAUUGCACAAUGGGCGAAAGCCUGAUGCAGCAACGCCGCGUGAGUGAUGAAGGCCUUCGGGUCGUAAAACUCUGUCCUCAAGGAAGAUAAUGACGGUACUUGAGGAGGAAGCCCCGGCUAACUACGUGCCAGCAGCCGCGGUAAUACGUAGGGGGCUAGCGUUAUCCGGAUUCACUGGGCGUAAAGGGUGCGUAGGCGGUCUUUCAAGACAGGAGUGAAAGGCUACGGCUCAACCGUAGUAAGCUCUUGAAACUGGGAGACUUGAGUGCAGGAGAGGAGAGUGGAAUUCCUAGUGUAGCGGUGAAAUGCGUAGAUAUUAGGAGGAACACCAGUUGCGGAGGCGGCUCUCUGGACUGUAACUGACGCUGAGGCACGAAAGCGUGGGGAGCAAACAGGAUUAGAUACCCUGGUAGUCCACGCUGUAAACGAUGAGUACUAGGUGUCGGGGGUUACCCCCUUCGGUGCCGCAGCUA